ACAUCCAGCGAAUUCGGUAGAGAUACCUUAGUGCCUUCGGGAACGCUGAGACAGGUGCUGCAUGGCUGUCGUCAGCUCGUGUUGUGAAAUGUUGGGUUAAGUCCCGCAACGAGCGCAACCCUUAUCCUUUGUUGCCAGCGGUCCGGCCGGGAACUCAAAGGAGACUGCCAGUGAUAAACUGGAGGAAGGUGGGGAUGACGUCAAGUCAUCAUGGCCCUUACGAGUAGGGCUACACACGUGCUACAAUGGCGCAUACAAAGAGAAGCGACCUCGCGAGAGCAAGCGGACCUCAUAAAGUGCGUCGUAGUCCGGAUUGGAGUCUGCAACUCGACUCCAUGAAGUCGGAAUCGCUAGUAAUCGUAGAUCAGAAUGCUACGGUGAAUACGUUCCCGGGCCUUGUACACACCGCCCGUCACACCAUGGGAGUGGGUUGCAAAAGAAGUAGGUAGCUUAACCUUCGGGAGGGCGCUUACCACUUUGUGAUUCAUGACUGGGGUGAAGUCGUAACAAGGUAGGCGUAGAUGA
This 525-nucleotide ribosomal RNA is filed under the name uncultured bacterium. Its description in RNAcentral is "bacterial SSU rRNA". It matches the Rfam family "Bacterial small subunit ribosomal RNA", at positions 984 to 1509 of the family's 1533-position model. The record is from RNAcentral.